Podarcis lilfordi (Lilford's wall lizard) is the source of this 70-nucleotide non-coding RNA. The record is from the annotation of a GenBank genome assembly. NCBI's taxonomy places the organism in Eukaryota, Metazoa, Chordata, Lepidosauria, Squamata, Lacertidae.
CAGUGGCACAAUAGGUCAGUGCAUCUGGCUAUUAACCAGAAGGUUGGUGGUUUAAGCCCACCAGGCAUGA